GCUAAUUGCGGGCCGGUAGGCGGGGUAUUACGGGGGGAGGGGGGUUUGUUGGGAAUGACUGGGCGUAAAGAGUACGUAGGCGGUGCUUUAAGUGUGGUGUGAAAUCUCCCGGCUCAACUGGGAGGGUGCGCCGGAAACUGGAGUGCUCGAGUGCGGGAGAGGUAAGCGGAAUUCCUGGUGUAGCGGUGAAAUGCGUAGAUAUCAGGAGGAACACCUGUGGUGUAGACAGCUUACUGGACCGCGACUGACGCUGAGGUACGAAAGCGUGGGUAGCAAACAGGAUUAGAUACCCCUGUAGUC
Molecule: ribosomal RNA, 300 nt
Filed under: uncultured Thermocrinis sp.
Lineage: Bacteria; Pseudomonadati; Aquificota; Aquificia; Aquificales; Aquificaceae
Description: bacterial SSU rRNA
Rfam family: Bacterial small subunit ribosomal RNA
Source: RNAcentral